Molecule: ribosomal RNA, 473 nt
Filed under: uncultured bacterium
Lineage: Bacteria
Description: bacterial SSU rRNA
Rfam family: Bacterial small subunit ribosomal RNA
Source: RNAcentral
ACUCCUACGGGAGGCAGCAGUAGGGAAUCUUCCACAAUGGGCGCAAGCCUGAUGGAGCAACACCGCGUGAGUGAAGAAGGGUUUCGGCUCGUAAAGCUCUGUUGUUAAAGAAGAACACGUAUGAGAGUAACUGUUCAUACGUUGGCGGUAUUUAACCAGAAAGUCACGGCUAACUACGUGCCAGCAGCCGCGGUAAUACGUAGGUGGCAAGCGUUAUCCGGAUUUAUUGGGCGUAAAGAGAGUGCAGGCGGUUUUCUAAGUCUGAUGUGAAAGCCUUCGGCUUAACCGGAGAAGUGCAUCGGAAACUGGAUAACUUGAGUGCAGAAGGGGUAGUGGAACUCCAUGUGUAGCGGUGGAAUGCGUAGAUAUAUGGAAGAACACCAGUGGCGAAGGCGGCUACCUGGUCUGCAACUGACGCUGAGACUCGAAAGCAUGGGUAGCGAACAGGAUUAGAUACCCCUGGUAGGAUAGCG